UUAGAGUUUGAUUCCUGGCUCAGAACGAACGCUGGCGGCAUGCCUAACACAUGCAAGUCGAACGAGACCUUCGGGUCUAGUGGCGCACGGGUGCGUAACGCGUGGGAAUCUGCCCUUGGGUUCGGAAUAACUCGCCGAAAGGCGUGCUAAUACCGGAUGAUGUCGCAAGACCAAAGAUUUAUCGCCCAAGGAUGAGCCCGCGUAGGAUUAGGUAGUUGGUGAGGUAAAGGCUCACCAAGCCGACGAUCCUUAGCUGGUCUGAGAGGAUGAUCAGCCACACUGGGACUGAGACACGGCCCAGACUCCUACGGGAGGCAGCAGUGGGGAAUAUUGGACAAUGGGCGAAAGCCUGAUCCAGCAAUGCCGCGUGAGUGAUGAAGGCCUUAGGGUUGUAAAGCUCUUUUACCCGGGAUGAUAAUGACAGACCGGGAGAAUAAGUCCGCAA
RNAcentral lists this ribosomal RNA (445 nucleotides) under Sphingomonas sp. MSZ13t. RNAcentral describes it as "bacterial SSU rRNA". It matches the Rfam family "Bacterial small subunit ribosomal RNA", at positions 1 to 499 of the family's 1533-position model. Lineage: Bacteria; Pseudomonadati; Pseudomonadota; Alphaproteobacteria; Sphingomonadales; Sphingomonadaceae. The record is from RNAcentral.